GCAGGGUGUGGUGGUGCACACCUGUAAUCCCAGCAGCUUGGUAGGCUGAGACAGGAGGAGAGCAAGUUCAAGGCAAGCCUCAGCAACUUAGUGAGGCUUUAAGCAACUUAGCAAGACCCUGUCAU
This 125-nucleotide small RNA is filed under the name Marmota monax (woodchuck). The record is from RNAcentral. Lineage: Eukaryota; Metazoa; Chordata; Mammalia; Rodentia; Sciuridae.